Molecule: ribosomal RNA, 256 nt
Filed under: uncultured bacterium
Lineage: Bacteria
Description: partial 16S ribosomal RNA
Rfam family: Bacterial small subunit ribosomal RNA
Source: RNAcentral
UAAUACGAAGGGUGCAAGCGUUGUUCGGAUUUAUUGGGCGUAAAGCGUGCGCAGGCGGGUUCGCAAGUCAGGUGUGAAAUCUCGAGGCUUAACCUCGAAAUUGCGCCUGAAACUGCAAGUCUAGAAUGUCGGAGAGGGAAGGGGAAUAUCUCAUGUAGGGGUAAAAUCCGUAGAUAUGAGAUGGAACACCAGAGGCGAAGGCGCCUUCCUGGACGAUUAUUGACGCUGAGGCACGAAAGCGUGGGGAGCAAACAGG